This 465-nucleotide ribosomal RNA is filed under the name uncultured bacterium. RNAcentral's name for it is "partial 16S ribosomal RNA". It matches the Rfam family "Bacterial small subunit ribosomal RNA", at positions 28 to 507 of the family's 1533-position model. The record is from RNAcentral.
GACGAACGCUGGCGGCGUGCUUAACACAUGCAAGUCGAACGGAAAGGCCCCUUCGGGGGUACUCGAGUGGCGAACGGGUGAGUAACACGUGAGUAACCUGCCCUUGACUUCGGGAUAACUUCAGGAAACUGGGGCUAAUACCGGAUAGGAAUCCUUGCUGCAUGGUGGGGGUUGGAAAGCUUCGGCGGUUUUGGAUGGACUCGCGGCUUAUCAGCUUGUUGGUGGGGUAGUGGCUUACCAAGGCUUUGACGGGUAGCCGGCCUGCGAGGGCGACCGGCCACAUUGGGACUGAGAGACGGCCCAGACUCCUACGGGAGGCAGCAGUGGGGAAUAUUGCACAAUGGGCGGAAGCCUGAUGCAGCAACGCCGCGUGCGGGAUGACGGCCUUCGGGUUGUAAACCGCUUUCAGCAGGGGCGAAGCUUGUGGUGACGGUACCUGCAGAAGAAGCACCGGCUAACUACGUG